This 947-nucleotide ribosomal RNA is filed under the name uncultured archaeon. Its description in RNAcentral is "bacterial SSU rRNA". It matches the Rfam family "Archaeal small subunit ribosomal RNA", at positions 1 to 922 of the family's 1478-position model. The record is from RNAcentral.
UUUCCCGGUUGAUCCCGCCGGACCCCACUGCUAUCGGGGUGGGACUAAAACAUGCAAGUCGAGCGCCUCCAAGCUAUGGUGAAGGCGCGGCAAACGGCUCAGUAACACGUGGCCAACCUACCCUUGGGACGGAGACAACCCCGGGAAACUGGGGCUAAUCCCCGAUAGGUGAGGAAUCCUGGAAUGGACCCUCGCCCAAAAGACGUUGAGUCCAUGCUAUUCAGCGUCGCCCAAGGAUGGAGCCGCGACCGAUCAGGUAGUUGGUGAGGCAACGGCUCACCAAGCCUAUAACCGGUACGGGCCGUGAGAGCGGGAGCCCGGAGAUGGGCACUGAGACAAGGGCCCAGGCCCUACGGGGCGCAGCAGUUGCGAAAACUCCGCAAUGCGCGAAAGCGUGACGGGGCUACCCCGAGUGCCGCCCGUUGAGGGCGGCUUUUCCACGGUGUAAGGAGCCGUGGGAAUAAGGAGAGGGCAAGACUGGUGUCAGCCGCCGCGGUAAUACCAGCUCUCCGAGUGGUGGGGACGAUUAUUGGGCUUAAAGCGUUCGUAGCCGGCUUAACAAGUCUUCCGUUAAAUCCAACGAUCUAAUCGUUGGGCUGCGGGAGAUACUGUUGGGCUAGGAGGCGGGAGAAGCCGACGGUAUUCUCGGGGUAGGGGUGAAAUCCUGUAAUCCCGGGAGGACCACCAGUGGCGAAGGCGGUCGGCUAGAACGCGCUCGACGGUGAGGGACGAAAGCUGGGGGAGCGAACCGGAUUAGAAACCCGGGUAGUCCCAGCUGUAAACGAUGCGGGCUAGGUGUUGGGGUGGCCACGAGCCACUUCAGUGCCGCAUGGAAGCAAUUAAGCCCGCCGCCUGGGGAGUACGGCCGCAAGGCUGAAACUUAAAGGAAUUGGCGGGGGAGCACCACAAGGCGUGAAGCUUGCGGUUUAAUUGGAUUCAACGCCGGA